RNAcentral lists this ribosomal RNA (461 nucleotides) under uncultured bacterium. RNAcentral's name for it is "bacterial SSU rRNA". It matches the Rfam family "Bacterial small subunit ribosomal RNA", at positions 26 to 507 of the family's 1533-position model. The record is from RNAcentral.
AGAACGAACGCUGGCGGCAUGCCUAACACAUGCAAGUCGAACGAGACCUUCGGGUCUAGUGGCGCACGGGUGCGUAACGCGUGGGAACCUGCCUUUAGGUUCGGAAUAACAGUGAGAAAUUACUGCUAAUACCGGAUGAAAGCGGGGGAUCGCAAGACCUCGCGCGAUUGGAGCGGCCGAUGUCAGAUUAGCUAGUUGGUGGGGUAAAGGCCCACCAAGGCGACGAUCUGUAGCUGGUCUGAGAGGACGACCAGCCACACUGGGACUGAGACACGGCCCAGACUCCUACGGGAGGCAGCAGUGGGGAAUUUUGGACAAUGGGCGCAAGCCUGAUCCAGCAAUGCCGCGUGCAGGAAGAAGGCCUUCGGGUUGUAAACUGCUUUUGUACGGAACGAAAAAGUCCGGGUUAAUACCCUGGGCCCAUGACGGUACCGUAAGAAUAAGCACCGGCUAACUACGUG